UACGGGAGGCAGCAGUAAGGAAUAUUGGUCAAUGGACGCAAGUCUGAACCAGCCAUGCCGCGUGGAGGAUGAAGGUCCUCUGGAUUGUAAACUUCUUUUAUCGGAGAAGAAACCCAGACAUUCCUGUCUGGUUGACGGUACCCGAUGAAUAAGCACCGGCUAACUCCGUGCCAGCAGCCGCGGUAAUA
RNAcentral lists this ribosomal RNA (188 nucleotides) under uncultured Niastella sp. RNAcentral's name for it is "partial 16S ribosomal RNA". It matches the Rfam family "Bacterial small subunit ribosomal RNA", at positions 340 to 525 of the family's 1533-position model. The record is from RNAcentral. Lineage: Bacteria; Pseudomonadati; Bacteroidota; Chitinophagia; Chitinophagales; Chitinophagaceae.